Sinocyclocheilus grahami is the source of this 1812-nucleotide long non-coding RNA. NCBI's taxonomy places the organism in Eukaryota, Metazoa, Chordata, Actinopteri, Cypriniformes, Cyprinidae. The record is from Ensembl.
CUUAAAUGUUUUAUUAAAAUAGUGGUAUGCAGAUUGUGAUACAAGUACGUGAACAUGUAAAAAAGCAAAAAAUUCUCUCUGGCAAAUUCUUAAAUCAUUAGUGAUGAUAUAUGUGUGUGUGAUUGGUUUGCAAUUCAUCUCAAUACAAAGUGUGUUGAUAGAAAUUCAGUAUGUCUUUAGAAAUACAUUAAGAUUACAAUCAAAGUGCGGACAUCCAGCAGGCCAAAUGCCAAAUGCUCAAAUGGUGCUCAACUACAAGCAAUGGCAAACAGAUAAAGCAAAGUUGGCACAUCACCGCUCCAAAAGUAGAAACAUAUUUAUUUAUGUUCUCACCACAGGUGACGUUUCGAGCCUCUGAUGAAGAGCUUGUAGGCUCGAAACGUCACCUGUGCUGAGAACAUGAAUAUUUUUCUACUUUUGGAGCUGUGGUGUGCCAACUUUGCUUUUUCUGUUCAGAAAUACAUCAACCAGAAAAAUGACCACAGACUCUGCUGAAAUAAUAAUUUUAUUGCAUCUAUAAUUUGGUGUUUAAUUUAGUUCUUCCCUCUAAUAUCUGCAUUCUCUUUACAGGUAUGAUAUAAUAAUUUAUAACCACUAAAGACAUGGUUGAAACAUUUACAUUUUAUGCAACCCAAGCUUUUCGUAAGUAACGUUUUGAGAUGAAAUUUCUACUUCCAACUUCUAUGGACAGCAAAGUCAUUUUUCUUGUUUAAAAAUGUGAGCCAGCGGUUCAACGUCCAGACGACUCCUGGCAUGACUCAAAACCAUUCGUCUCACUAGUAAUACAGGAGAAUCCACAGAACGGGAUCAGACAUGACGGAUGAGCUGAACAGGGCGUCAGCUGAACCGGAGACGAUGAAACCGGAAGAGACUGUGCUGGUUGGAUCAGAUGUUGUUACUGUCACUGAGGAUAAUGCAGUGGAGAACAGUACGCCUGGAAAGGUGACGGUUGAGUCGCCACCUGAUUGGCUGAAGCCAAUGGAGGAGGAUGAAGAUGAUGGUGGUGAAGGUGUCAAGAGCAGCGAAUGGAUCACUAGAAAAACCAGUAAUGACGUUCCUAAAGUAAAACGACGCAGAGGUCGGCCUCCGAUUGCCAGAAAUGCUAGACAUGGACUUACUCGUUUAGAUUUCAAGAAAGGAUUGCAUGCAGAUCGCCCUAAAACUAAGACUGUUCGUACUAUACUGGAAAGAACACGUUCAAGUCUCACAUCAGCUACUGCCAUUCCCGUCCCAGAUCCAAUCCGCACGCCUGAGGUUUUACCCCGAACACCCCAGAGCAUCAUUCACAACCCGACGUCGACAUCCCAAAGACCCCGACUCAUCCCAAUCUCACCUACAGGGGACAGCAGCCUCUCCAAGAUACCCAACGCUGAGUUUCACAGCCCGUGUUCCUUUAAAAAGGUCUCUAAAAUUGAUGGCUCAUUCCGUGUCAACUUAACCAGAGGUCCCCGGCUAAAAUCUUUGAUUUUUCUAAUAUUUAUUCUGAAGAAAGAUAAACAUGUAUAGUGAUGAAAGCCAAAAUAUUAAAUGCCAUGGAUGAAUAUUUACUAAGUAAUCCACUAUUUUGUAGAGGGGGGUCAGAAUGGCAAUUUUCACCUGAGAUUCAGAGCCAAAUUGCAGGGGGGUAAAAAUGAAUUAAGAAAGAUGGCAGCAUCAUAAUGUUAUUUUUACACAGAGAUUGGUAGGUCUAUUAGUAAAAUCUGUUGAAUUUAGCAAUCUUUGUUGCAUUAUGUGCCAGUGGUGACCAUUCAAAAAUGGGGAAAGAGCACUUUUCAAGAUUUUUCUCCAAAGUUUGCAGUAGGGCUGGACCAG